CCUGGCUCAGAUUGAACGCUGGCGGCAUGCCUUACACAUGCAAGUCGAACGGCAGCACGGGCUUCGGCCUGGUGGCGAGUGGCGAACGGGUGAGUAAUGCAUCGGAACGUGCCCAUUUGUGGGGGAUAACUACGCGAAAGCGUGGCUAAUACCGCAUACGCCCUGAGGGGGAAAGCGGGGGAUUCUUCGGAACCUCGCGCAAUUGGAGCGGCCGAUGUCAGAUUAGCUUGUUGGUGAGGUAAAGGCUCACCAAGGCGACGAUCUGUAGCGGGUCUGAGAGGAUGAUCCGCCACACUGGGACUGAGACACGGCCCAGACUCCUACGGGAGGCAGCAGUGGGGAAUUUUGGACAAUGGGGGCAACCCUGAUCCAGCCAUGCCGCGUGAGUGAAGAAGGCCUCGGUUGGUAAAGUACGUCUUUCUAGCCGGGACGAAAACGGACGACUACUCUACAUAGGU
RNAcentral lists this ribosomal RNA (458 nucleotides) under uncultured bacterium. Its description in RNAcentral is "bacterial SSU rRNA". It matches the Rfam family "Bacterial small subunit ribosomal RNA", at positions 18 to 473 of the family's 1533-position model. The record is from RNAcentral.